This 25-nucleotide non-coding RNA is filed under the name Rattus norvegicus (Norway rat). The record is from RNAcentral. Lineage: Eukaryota; Metazoa; Chordata; Mammalia; Rodentia; Muridae.
UUCUCUAAUGACAGGAUCCCAGAAA